UAUGAGAGUCUGCCUCCCAAACAAU
This 25-nucleotide non-coding RNA is filed under the name Mus musculus (house mouse). The record is from RNAcentral. Lineage: Eukaryota; Metazoa; Chordata; Mammalia; Rodentia; Muridae.